ACUCUUUUAGUAUAAUUAGUACAAUUGACUUCCAAUCAAUAAGGUUCGGACAAAACCGAGAAAGAGUA
RNAcentral lists this transfer RNA (68 nucleotides) under Otolemur crassicaudatus (thick-tailed bush baby). Its description in RNAcentral is "tRNA-Gly". It matches the Rfam family "tRNA". From Rfam's summary of the family: Transfer RNA (tRNA) molecules are approximately 80 nucleotides in length. Their secondary structure includes four short double-helical elements and three loops (D, anti-codon, and T loops). Lineage: Eukaryota; Metazoa; Chordata; Mammalia; Primates; Galagidae. The record is from RNAcentral.